AAACUGCCGGUGAUGGUGUUAAAUAUACUUUGCAGCUUUUUGCUUUGAAAUAAACCUACAAUCUGAGGCAUUUG
Non-coding RNA from Triticum aestivum (bread wheat), 74 nucleotides. Lineage: Eukaryota; Viridiplantae; Streptophyta; Magnoliopsida; Poales; Poaceae. The record is from Rfam.